GAUGAAGAACGCAGCGAAAUGCGAUAAGUAAUGUGAAUUGCAGAAUUCAGUGAACCAUCGAAUCUUUGAACGCACAUUGCGCCCGGCAGUAAUCUGCCGGGCAUGCCUGUCCGAGCGUCAUUUCUGCCCUCGAGCGAGUCCAGCAUCUAGGUGCUGGGCCCGCCCGGCGUUGGGGCACUACGGGAAGCCCUGUGCUGUCCCCCGUAGGCCCCGAAAUGAAGUGGCGGUCCUGCCGCGGCGCCCCCUGCGUAGUAUAACAGCUCGCUUCGGGACCCGGUGGAGGCCUGCCGUCAAACCUUACUCUCUAAGUUUGACCUCGGAUUAGGUAGGGUUACCCGCUGAACUUAAGCAUAUCAAUAAGCGGAGGA
This 368-nucleotide unclassified non-coding RNA is filed under the name soil metagenome. RNAcentral's name for it is "partial contains 5.8S ribosomal RNA, internal transcribed spacer 2, and large subunit ribosomal RNA". The stretch from base 1 to 120 matches the Rfam family "5.8S ribosomal RNA", at positions 35 to 154 of the family's 154-position model. The record is from RNAcentral.